GACGAACGCUGGCGGCGUGCUUAACACAUGCAAGUCGAGCGGUAAGGCCCUUUCGGGGGUACGACGAGCGGCGAACGGGUGAGUAACACGUGGGUGACCUGCCUUUAGCUCUGGGAUAAGCCUGGGAAACUGGGUCUAAUACCGGAUAUGACCCUAUGGCGCAUGUUGUGGGGUGGAAAGCCUUGUGCGGCUAGGGAUGGGCCCGCGGCCUAUCAGCUUGUUGGUGGGGUGAUGGCCUACCAAGGCGACGACGGGUAGCCGGCCUGAGAGGGCGACCGGCCACACUGGGACUGAGACACGGCCCAGACUCCUACGGGAGGCAGCAGUGGGGAAUCUUGCGCAAUGGGCGAAAGCCUGACGCAGCGACGCCGCGUGAGGGAUGACGGCCUC
This 390-nucleotide ribosomal RNA is filed under the name uncultured bacterium. Its description in RNAcentral is "bacterial SSU rRNA". It matches the Rfam family "Bacterial small subunit ribosomal RNA", at positions 28 to 418 of the family's 1533-position model. The record is from RNAcentral.